This 589-nucleotide ribosomal RNA is filed under the name uncultured Pseudomonadota bacterium. Its description in RNAcentral is "bacterial SSU rRNA". It matches the Rfam family "Bacterial small subunit ribosomal RNA", at positions 1 to 588 of the family's 1533-position model. Lineage: Bacteria; Pseudomonadati; Pseudomonadota. The record is from RNAcentral.
AGGGGUUUGAUCAAUGGGCUCAGAUUGAACGCUGGCAGCAGGCUUAACACAUGCAAGUCGAGCGGGGAAGGGUAGCUUGCUACCUAACCUAGCGGCGGACGGGUGAGUAAUGCUUAGGAAUCUGCCUAUUAGUGGGGGACAACAUUCCGAAAGGAAUGCUAAUACCGCAUACGCCCUACGGGGGAAAGCAGGGGAUCUUCGGACCUUGCGCUAAUAGAUGAACCUAAGUCAGAUUAGCUAGUUGGUGGGGUAAAGGCCUACCAAGGCGACGAUCUGUAGCGGGUCUGAGAGGAUGAUCCGCCACACUGGGACUGAGACACGGCCCAGACUCCUACGGGAGGCAGCAGUGGGGAAUAUUGGACAAUGGGCGAAAGCCUGAUCCAGCCAUGCCGCGUGUGUGAAGAAGGCCUUUUGGUUGUAAAGCACUUUAAGCGAGGAGGAGGCUACCGAGAUUAAUACUCUAGGAUAGUGGACGUUACUCGCAGAAUAAGCACCGGCUAACUCUGUGCCAGCAGCCGCGGUAAUACANAGGUUGGCGAGCGUUAAUCGGAUUACUGGGCGUAAAGCGUGCGUAGGCGGUUUUUUAAGU